AAUAAGAAUGAACACCAUAUUAAGAAUUCUACUAUUUACCUUCUAGUUGUGAGCCAGCUCCACAUUACAGAGAUUCAACUCAUCCCUUAGCCCCUUGCUGAACGACAACGAAUGCUGAAACUGCCUGCCUUGGACCCUUCUCCAGUGGUGCACCUGAGUAAAGGGAAGAUCUGCUAAAAUUCCAGAGGAAAUAUG
RNAcentral lists this long non-coding RNA (195 nucleotides) under Corvus moneduloides (New Caledonian crow). RNAcentral's name for it is "lncRNA (ENSCMUG00000016919.1)". The record is from RNAcentral. Lineage: Eukaryota; Metazoa; Chordata; Aves; Passeriformes; Corvidae.